GGUUUCCCCUUGGACUUCCGGCUUAGGCCAGCAGCAGCCUACACAAUCCCCACAGACACACCUAAGCCUGAGAGUCCCGCCCACCUUCUUGUAAGGAAGUCAAUCUCCAAUCAGUCCUGACAGAACAGUCCACUUGCAGAGCUCACAGGCUUUCCUGGGCUGACAACUGAGUCCUGAAGCCACGGAGGGACAGGACCCAGAGGCUAGAGAGGACAGCUCAUAACUGACGGUGACACCGACAGAAACAGCGUGGAAGAUUCCAUACAUAACAAAGUGGUUAUGAGAGAACCUCGCAGGCGGGGUUGACCCACCGCUCACAAACCAUGAAGAGAUUUAGUGCAACUCCUUGUGGCCAUUGCCUUGUGAUGCUUCUGGAGCAGCGUUCAAAGUGUUUCCAAAAGAGGAGCUUGCUAAUAUCUGGAGCAGCCAGGGCUUCGUCAGAAACAAAACCCACCACUUCCCAGGACGGCGCCUUUGAAGAAGGCCUACUUAUUUGUGCCUAGGCGUCAGGAGGAUUGUCAAACAGCCGCAUCGGCUUCUAACUCUGUCCUCUUUACCAAAAGCUAGCACUGCACGGAGAGGAAGAACCUGGGCAGAGAUACAGAAGAGGGACAAAGUGGAAGAAGAGCAGCUGGGGUGUGACAUCCUCUGCAAAACA
This 658-nucleotide long non-coding RNA is filed under the name Mus musculus (house mouse). RNAcentral's name for it is "predicted gene, 32441". The record is from RNAcentral. Lineage: Eukaryota; Metazoa; Chordata; Mammalia; Rodentia; Muridae.